CAGUCGCCGCGGGAAUACGUAGGUGGCAAGCGUUGUCCGGAAUUAUUGGGCGUAAAGGGCUCGCAGGCGGUUUCUUAAGUCUGAUGUGAAAGCCCCCGGCUCAACCGGGGAGGGUCAUUGGAAACUGGGAAACUUGAGUGCAGAAGAGGAGAGUGGAAUUCCACGUGUAGCGGUGAAAUGCGUAGAGAUGUGGAGGAACACCAGUGGCGAAGGCGACUCUCUGGUCUGUAACUGACGCUGAGGAGCGAAAGCGUGGGGAGCAAACAGGAUUAGAGACCCGGGUAGUCCCUGUCUCUUAUAC
RNAcentral lists this ribosomal RNA (301 nucleotides) under uncultured bacterium. Its description in RNAcentral is "partial 16S ribosomal RNA". It matches the Rfam family "Bacterial small subunit ribosomal RNA", at positions 509 to 807 of the family's 1533-position model. The record is from RNAcentral.